UGGGGAAUUUUGGGCAAUGGGCGAAAGCCUGACCCAGCAACGCCGCGUGAAGGAUGAAGUAUUUCGGUAUGUAAACUUCGAAAGAAUAGGAAGAAUAAAUGACGGUACUAUUUAUAAGGUCCGGCUAACUACGUGCCAGCAGCCGCGGUAAUACGUAGGGACCAAGCGUUGUUCGGAUUUACUGGGCGUAAAGGGCGCGUAGGCGGCAAUUCAAGUCAUCUGUGAAAUCUCCGGGGCUUAACUCGGAACGGUCAGAUGAUACUGCUUUGCUAGAGUGCAGAAGGGGCAAUCGGAAUUCUUGGUGUAGCGGUGAAAUGCGUAGAUAUCAAGAGGAACACCUGAGGUGAAGACGGGUUGCUGGGCUGACACUGACGCUGAGGCGCGAAAGCCAGGGGAGCAAACGGGAUUAGAUACCCAAGUAGUCCCUGAGCGGGCUGGCAAGGCGCAU
Molecule: ribosomal RNA, 448 nt
Filed under: uncultured bacterium
Lineage: Bacteria
Description: bacterial SSU rRNA
Rfam family: Bacterial small subunit ribosomal RNA
Source: RNAcentral